AGUGAACGCUGGCGGUAGGCCUAACACAUGCAAGUCGAACGGCAGCACAGUAAGAGCUUGCUCUUACGGGUGGCGAGUGGCGGACGGGUGAGGAAUACAUCGGAAUCUACUUUUUCGUGGGGGAUAACGUAGGGAAACUUACGCUAAUACCGCAUACGACCUACGGGUGAAAGCAGGGGAUCUUCGGACCUUGCGCGAUUGAAUGAGCCGAUGUCGGAUUAGCUAGUUGGCGGGGUAAAGGCCCACCAAGGCGACGAUCCGUAGCUGGUCUGAGAGGAUGAUCAGCCACACUGGAACUGAGACACGGUCCAGACUCCUACGGGAGGCAGCAGCGGGGAGUAUUGGACAAUGGGCGCAAGCCUGAUCCAGCCAUACCGCGUGGGUGAAGAAGGCCUUCGGGUUGUAAAGCCCUUUUGUUGGGAAAGAAAAGCAGCAGGUUAAUACCCCGCUGUUCUGACGGUACCCAAAGAAUAAGCACCGGCUAACUUCGUG
This 492-nucleotide ribosomal RNA is filed under the name uncultured bacterium. RNAcentral describes it as "partial 16S ribosomal RNA". It matches the Rfam family "Bacterial small subunit ribosomal RNA", at positions 29 to 507 of the family's 1533-position model. The record is from RNAcentral.